GAAAUCAAUUCAGAAUUUACAAGUGAUAUGGAUGUCGAAAUUUUCAUUUCGCUUCUUCGGCAACGAUCUGUGCUGCGGAACAAAUUCGGUGAUACAAGUUGCUGCACGAAGGUAAGCAAUGGUCACAGGCGCACGAGAUCAUCAUGGAGCAUAUUGCCGUGGACUGUGUUAUCAACGAUUCGCUACUGAACGAGUUCGAUGACGUCAAACAAAUUUCCAACUGGUUAAUCAAGGGGCAUGUUUUGAGUGAGCUUAUCGAGACUUUAUGAGGUGUUUAGUUUGUGACAAUUUGACCUGACUCGAGACGCGAUCGACUACGAGGUGGACGUGGCUCGGCUCGAGGAUCUCAAGCCCUAAAUGUCCGAUCUGUGAUCGGUGAUCGAGAUGUUUCCCUGUCCGACGCCGAAGCAUCGGUUCUGUCAGAGCGAAAUCACCCAAUAUAUCUGAGUCGGACAUUCUUUGCCCAAGAUCCGCGUAUAAAUAGCUGUGCGUAGAUUCACGCUCGAGUAGCUACUCCUGCCCCAGGAGUACGUGCUCGAUAAAUUGCGGUAUAUGCUGAGCGCGUUUCUGGGCGAGGACCUGCGUAAACAGCAAUGUCCCUCUUCUAAUAUUCUUAUUUGGUAUUCCAGACAGUUCGACCUGACCCGGAACACGAUCGACGAUGAGGUGGCCGCAACUCGGCUCGAAGAACUCCAACCCAAACUGUCCGAUCUGUGCUCGGUGAUCAAGAUGUCCCGGCGCUGAAGUAUCGGUUCUGUUAGAAUUAAAUCACCCAGCUGUUGGCAUAUAUAUGAUUUGGCCAUUCUUCGCCCACGAUCCGAUGUGCGUUGAUGCGAAAUGUGCUCCAGAAGCUGUCCCUGCCCCAGUUGAACGUGUUCCAGGAAUUGCGACACAUGUUCAGCGUGUUUCUGGACGAAGAUCUGCGGAAGCAACAAUGAGAUAGUGUUUGAAGGGAAAUUAUGUUUUUUCAAUUAAUUUAUUUGUAAGGCUCAA
Long non-coding RNA from Toxorhynchites rutilus septentrionalis, 993 nucleotides. RefSeq lists it as uncharacterized. The transcript has 3 exons. Lineage: Eukaryota; Metazoa; Arthropoda; Insecta; Diptera; Culicidae. The record is from RefSeq and is a predicted model, not a curated record.